UCAGUUUCUACGAGUUGGAUGUUCGAC
RNAcentral lists this small RNA (27 nucleotides) under Bombyx mori (domestic silkworm). RNAcentral describes it as "ovarian small RNA-25848". Lineage: Eukaryota; Metazoa; Arthropoda; Insecta; Lepidoptera; Bombycidae. The record is from RNAcentral.